UACGUAGGGGGCAAGCGUUGUCCGGAUUUAUUGGGCGUCAAGAGCGUGUAGGCGGUUUGGUAGGUCCGCUGUGAAAACUCGAGGCUCAACCUCGAGAUGUCGGUUGAAACCACCUGGCUAGAGUCCGGAAGAGGAGAAUGGAAUUCCCGGUGUAGCGGUGAAAUGCGCAGAUAUCGGGAAGAACACCCGUGGCGAAGGCGGUUCUCUGGGACGAUACUGACGCUGAGACGCGAAAGCGUGGGGAGCGAACAGG
Molecule: ribosomal RNA, 253 nt
Filed under: uncultured bacterium
Lineage: Bacteria
Description: partial 16S ribosomal RNA
Rfam family: Bacterial small subunit ribosomal RNA
Source: RNAcentral